Molecule: ribosomal RNA, 437 nt
Filed under: uncultured bacterium
Lineage: Bacteria
Description: bacterial SSU rRNA
Rfam family: Bacterial small subunit ribosomal RNA
Source: RNAcentral
CAGGCCUAACACAUGCAAGUCGAACGAGUGCCUUCGGGUGCUAGUGGCGCACGGGUGCGUAACGCGUGGGAACCUGCCCUUUGGUUCGGAAUAACUCAGGGAAACUUGAGCUAAUACCGGAUGAUGACUUCGGUCCAAAGAUUUAUCGCCAAGGGAUGGGCCCGCGUAGGAUUAGCUAGUUGGUGGGGUAAUGGCCUACCAAGGCGACGAUCCUUAGCUGGUCUGAGAGGAUGAUCAGCCACACUGGGACUGAGACACGGCCCAGACUCCUACGGGAGGCAGCAGUGGGGAAUAUUGGACAAUGGGCGCAAGCCUGAUCCAGCAAUGCCGCGUGAGUGAUGAAGGCCUUCGGGUUGUAAAGCUCUUUUACCCGGGAUGAUAAUGACAGUACCGGGAGAAUAAGCUCCGGCUAACUCCGUGCCAGCAGCCGCGGUAAU